This 301-nucleotide ribosomal RNA is filed under the name uncultured bacterium. RNAcentral describes it as "partial 16S ribosomal RNA". It matches the Rfam family "Bacterial small subunit ribosomal RNA", at positions 509 to 807 of the family's 1533-position model. The record is from RNAcentral.
CAGCCGCCGCGGUAAUACGUAGGGUGCGAGCGUUAACCGGAAUUACUGGGCGUAAAGCGUGCGCAGGUGGUUAUAUAAGACAGAUGUGAAAUCCCCGGGCUCAACCUGGGACCUGCAUUUGUGACUGUAUAGCUAGAGUACGGUAGAGGGGGAUGGAGCUCCGCGUGUAGCAGUGAAAUGCGUAGAUAUGCGGAGGAAUACCGAUGGCGAAGGCAAUCCCCUGGACCUGUACUGACGCUCAUGCACGAAAGCGUGGGGAGCAAACAGGAUUAGAUACCCCCGUAGUCCCUGUCUCUUAUAC